Long non-coding RNA from Carassius gibelio (silver crucian carp), 903 nucleotides. RefSeq lists it as uncharacterized. The record is from RefSeq and is a predicted model, not a curated record. NCBI's taxonomy places the organism in Eukaryota, Metazoa, Chordata, Actinopteri, Cypriniformes, Cyprinidae. The transcript has 2 exons.
UGAACAUUUUGCCAAACAUCUCCUUUUGUGAUCCAGAGAAGAAAGAGUCAGCAUGCAAACUAUAGAAGGUCUUCAGGAUGAGUUUAAAGCAGGCCAUCUACCUCUGUUUCCCGACUGUUGUUCUCCCGUAUCAUGCCAUCCGACAGCCCUUACAUCAAGCAGGAUUCCCUUGGCAGUGUAUCCUAUCAGCGUGCAGAACUAAUUGUGCCCCCCAGGAUAAAUCUCCAGCCUGCACUUCACACGGAGAUACUAAUGAUUCGCUCUUGUUUGUGACCAGAUAAGUGCACUAUUAGAAGAAAGUAUUAAUCUUGCGACUGGGGAGCGGAUAAGAUCUCUUCCGCCUCCCAGGGGAGACGUCUCAGCGUGGGCAUGUGCCAUUUUUCUCGAGCGUGUGUGGGAAGGAGCGAGUGGGAGGUGGAUGAGCCCCCAAAGGACUCCCGUGUAGCGGAGGUGACAGCUUUUUUUUCAUGUAUAAAACCUGAAAUUACCCAUCUGCUGUUUGCCCAAGACUCUCACACUCCUCUGUCAGAGCACCUGCUAAUCAAAAUCUGCAGUCGCAGCGAAAAGAUAAAGACCUGCUUGGCGCCCACUCCCAUAGCUGUCUCUCUUUCCAUUGUCCGUGAGCUUGCAGCUGCGUGCCUUCAUGCAAUAAUGAAAUGUUGCGAUGCAUGCAUUUUCAGCGUGUAGGUGUUGUGCAUUAAAUCUCAUAUUUAGAUGGCUGACAUAUGUGGACAUGGAGCUGUUUGGCACCCUAGAGCGAGGCGAUUAACCUUGCAUCUCUUCUAAUGUUAUCUCUGCAGGAGCGUGUGGGGCAUGCACAAUAUAGUGUGCAUUUAAACUUCAUCUGACUACAUCAAAUCCUGCAUGUAGGAAUCCAAAUAAAGAGUGGUUUGAGUUGUGCAA